Onthophagus taurus is the source of this 1541-nucleotide long non-coding RNA. RefSeq lists it as uncharacterized. The record is from RefSeq and is a predicted model, not a curated record. Lineage: Eukaryota; Metazoa; Arthropoda; Insecta; Coleoptera; Scarabaeidae.
AAAUGUGGUUCCUUUAUGAAUAUUAUUACUUUUCAUUCGAACUUUUUUAAUAUUUCUGUUUAAAAAAAUGGACUGCAUGGUCUGCAUCACCUUGUAUAAGUAAAUGAAAUAAUAUGUAAUACCUAAUUAAUAAUAAUAUUAAAUAAUGAUUCAAGUAUACAAAAUAUGGCUAAUAGUGUAAUAAAUAAAACAGCCCUGACUAGAAAAAUCUUUAGGAAAUUUUAAUUUGCCAUCGUUGAAUAGAUGUAAGCUCUUGAAAUUCGCUGGACACUUCACCUCGACGAUGGCAUUUUCGUUUUUUAUUGUUUCAUUUGGACUUGCAACUAAGAAUCCAUACAUCCUACGGAUGAAUAGAGCUCAAGAGUUUGCUGGCAAGUUAUAUUUACUUUCAAAUUUUUUUAAUGCAAGCCAUUCAUAGUCUUGGCCAUGUUUAGUGUUAUUAUUUCUAGCAAAUUUCGAGUACAAGAUUGAUUUAACUUUAUUUAAGCAAGACGUGUCAUUUCUCAUCCUACAUACAUCACCAAAUCUCGAUGCAGUUAGGCACAGAUACCUUUCUUGGAUCCAUAUCUGAUUGGUACUUUAGCUUCUGUUGAAUGGAUUAUUCUCCACCAUCAGUAUUUGGUUCUGCAUCAUUUGUAUUAUUUAUCUUAUGGUAUCGCUUCAAAUAAUGUAUCGUUUUAAUUUUUACUGUGAUGGUUUAUUCUUUUUAAAUAAGUCCUUUUUAUGUGUGCCACAGUUUAUACAAUAAAAUUAAUAAAAUUUAACUUACCUUUCGGAAUGAAUACAUUUUUCAAUUGAAUCUCGGACUAUAAAAUAUGAAAUUUUAGAUUUUAUAAAAAUUUAUAUCGUAAAUUAUUACCGUCUAUUACUCCUUUUUCGAGAACAUCUUCAAAUGCUAAGGGGUAGUUUUUUAGAUGAACAUACUUACCCAUUGUUUAUAAAAACUUUACACAAACUAAAUUAAACUAACACUAUAGUACACAAUAAAAUAACAACUAUUGACUAUAAAUUCAAAAAUUUUGUUAAAUUACACAAUCAUUAGUAGAAAAUCACGGAAAAUAAAGUUCAAAACGUACUUUUGGAAAUGAUUAUUUUCUCUACCACAUUAAAAAGUAAUAGAUAAAACAAGGAGCUUCGAUGAAGAGAGUCGAUGUCAGCGCCGCUCAGUCGGCAGGAGGCGGGACUAACGCGGUGGUAAUACUUCGUGGGAAUCUUGACGGAAAAUAUUCAUUUUUACGCUACCUUUUUGCAAUUUUAGCAAAUUACAAACUAUUCCUUUAUAACUAAAAAUUUUGAAAAAAUUAUUUGAAAAAUGUUACUAUUUUCAAGUAUACUAUCAUGCAAGCUAAAAAAGAACGACCAAAUUCUAUAAUAUUGAGGAAAAAAACCCCUUUUUUUGGAAAACUUUAAAAAUUUUCACCAUGCGCUAUGUAGAAUUGUUAGAAGAAGCUAUGUACAAAAUUUCAUCCAAAUAUUUUCAUAAAUAAUGUAUGUUUUUUGUAAUUUGCCGAGCUGUAUGGUAAAGUAGCCUCUUAAACAAU